RNAcentral lists this ribosomal RNA (1632 nucleotides) under Chryseobacterium sp. CFS15. RNAcentral describes it as "partial 23S ribosomal RNA". It matches the Rfam family "Bacterial large subunit ribosomal RNA", at positions 1 to 1762 of the family's 2925-position model. Lineage: Bacteria; Pseudomonadati; Bacteroidota; Flavobacteriia; Flavobacteriales; Weeksellaceae. The record is from RNAcentral.
AAAGAAAUCGUUAAGGGCGUAUGGCGGAUGCCUAGGCUUUCAGAGGCGAAGAAGGACGUGGUAAGCUGCGAAAAGCUCGGGGGAUUGGCACACACGAAUUGAUCCCGAGAUGUCCGAAUGGGGCAACCCGUCUGGUUGAAGACCAGUCACUCCGCAAGGAGAGCAAACCCGGAGAACUGAAACAUCUAAGUACCCGGAGGAAAAGAAAUCGAAGAGAUUCCGUAAGUAGUGGCGAGCGAACGCGGAUUAGCCCAAAAGUCUUUAUAUAUUUAAAAGAAUGUUCUGGAAAGAACAGCCGUAGAGGGUGAUAGCCCCGUAUUUGAAAGGUAUAUUUAGAUGAUAAAUGAGUAGGGCGGGACACGUGAAAUCCUGUCUGAAUAUGGGGGGACCAUCCUCCAAGGCUAAAUACUCCUGAAAGACCGAUAGUGAACAAGUACUGUGAAGGAAAGGUGAAAAGCACUUCGAAUAGAAGGGUGAAAUAGAACCUGAAACCGUACGCCUACAAGCGGUCGGAGCCCACAAGUUGGGUGACGGCGUGCCUUUUGCAUAAUGAGCCUACGAGUUAAUGUUACUAGCGAGGUUAAGGACUUCAGGUCCGGAGCCGGAGCGAAAGCGAGUCUGAAUAGGGCGCUUAGUUAGUAGUAUUAGACGCGAAACCUUGUGAUCUACCCAUGGGCAGGUUGAAGCUUUGGUAACACAAAGUGGAGGACCGAACCGGUUGACGUUGAAAAGUCUUCGGAUGACCUGUGGGUAGGGGUGAAAGGCCAAUCAAACUGGGAGAUAGCUCGUACUCCCCGAAAUGCAUUUAGGUGCAGCGUCGUGUAUAAGUUUAUUAGAGGUAGAGCUACUGAUUGGAUGCGGGGGAGUCAAAUCCUACCAAUUCCUGACAAACUCCGAAUGCUAAUAAAUGUUCCACGGCAGUGAGGGCGCGGGUGCUAAGGUCCGUGUCCGAGAGGGAAAGAACCCAGACCAACAGCUAAGGUCCCCAAAUCUCUAUUAAGUUGAAGCAACGCGGUUGGACUGCAUUGACAGCUAGGAUGUUGGCUUGGAAGCAGCCAUUCAUUUAAAGAGUGCGUAACAGCUCACUAGUCGAGCGGUCCGGCAUGGAUAAUAAUCGGGCAUAAAUAGAGUACCGAAGCUAUGGAUUUACAACCGUUGGGUUGUAUCUGGUAGGGGAGCAUUCUGUUUGCACAGAAGCAGUAUCGUGAGAUAUUGUGGAGCGUACAGAAAAGAAAAUGUAGGCAUAAGUAACGAUAAAGCGGGCGAGAAACCCGCUCACCGAAAGACUAAGGUUUCCUCAGCCAUGCUAAUCAGCUGAGGGUUAGUCGGGACCUAACGCGAACCCGAAAGGGGUAGUGGAUGGACAAUGGGUUAAUAUUCCCAUACUUGCUCACACUAAAAAGGGGACGGAGUGCCGUACCUGCUGGAGACUGACGGAAUAGUCAAGGCCUAGCCUUCGGGCGAAGCUGCUGCAGGGAAAGUGCUUCCAAGAAAAGCCGAAGUGAAGCAACCCGUACCAUAAACCGACACAGGUAGUCGAGGAGAGAAUCCUAAGGUGCUAGAGUGAAUCAUGGUUAAGGAACUAGGCAAAAUAGUCUCGUAACUUCGGAAGAAGAGACGCCAACAGCAAUG